This 1092-nucleotide long non-coding RNA is filed under the name Homo sapiens (human). RNAcentral's name for it is "non-protein coding LINC02290:31". The record is from RNAcentral. Lineage: Eukaryota; Metazoa; Chordata; Mammalia; Primates; Hominidae.
UCAGACUCAUGUUCUUUAUUGAGAAACAAGCUUUUGAAAGCCAUAUGCGAUCUGUCUGCCCUGAAGUGACUACUUCAUCUCCAACCAGCCCUUGGCUGGCAAAGUCAGGAAGACUCCAGUCUUUCCUGAAGACCAGGGGAGAGUUUAUAACUCUAGCAUCAAAGUCAGCAGCUGUUCAUCUAGAAGACAACUUCCCAAAAGUCAAUGUCUUUGCCUGAAGCUUUUCUUCCCAGAUCUCCUAUGGUGAAACAACCAAAGGGAAGAAGAAUGUGGGCAGCCCUCAGUAAGACAGGAGAUGAGCAUCAACAUUGACCCAUUCUUUCUUCCAGUCCUCGAUGCUUACCUUGUACAUUCUUCUUUGUCUUCCGACUCAGUGCCUUUAGGGUAUGGACGUUGCCUGGUCCCACACAAGCCAAGCAUCAAAUGGAUGGCUCAACAAGGAGGCCAAGACCAGCUAAUGUUUAGUGAGCACCCAAAGGGGCCACACUGGAGAGAACAGCACAGCUCCGUCUGAGAAACAGCUGUUCCUUCCUGCCUGAGAGGCAGAGUGAUAGAAGAUAUCACAGAAUGUUGCUGCUUUGUCUUCCACCCUGAACCCUCCACGACCUCCCUGUAGCUUCCUGAUUUUAAGUAGACAUCAAAUGAUUCUUAAUCCUUUCUGGGUCUUGGAACGAUUUGAAAAUUGUCAACAGUACUGGGAUUCCCAGAAUAAUGCACAUAUGUACAUACUCAGAUAUUCCCCAAGCCCUGGAUAUAAUUUUAAGGGAGUUCACAGACCACACUCCCCCACCCAUCUGUGGACCCAGAUUCUGUGGGUUCGAGAUUCAGAAGCCCUGUUUCUAGGCAGGCCCUCUGUUGCUAACGCCCCUCGAGAACAUCACCCUAGAUGAUUAUCCCUUCUUCCUCCACUCCUUCCCACCUUCUCCAACUGCUGGGUUUCAGCACAAAGAUUGCUUGCCAGUUAAACUGGCACCAUGGACCGCACAGUAGUUGUUUCUUGGGUCUAGAGGAAACAGCCAGAUUCCUUUAAGUAAAUCAUGUCUUAGUUAUUGAUUGUCUCCACUUGAAGUUUUUGACAAUCUCUGAUUAAAU